AGCGAACGCUGGCGGCAGGCUUAACACAUGCCAGUCGAGCGGGCAUCCUCGUGGUGUCUGCGGUAGACGGGUGAGUAACGCGUGGGAACGUGCUCUUCGGUCCGGAAUAACCUAGGGAAACUUGUGCUAAAACUGGAUACGUGCGAGAGCAGAAACGCUUAUUUGCCGAAGGAUCGAGCCGAGUCUGAUUAGUUAGGUGGUGAGGCUAUGGCUCACCAAGGCGUCGUUCAGUAGCUGGUCUGGGAGGAUGUUAAACCACACUGGGACUGAGACACGGCCCAGACUCCUACGGAGGGCAGCAGUAGAGAGUAUUAUACGAGGGAGGCUGCCCUAAUCCAGCCGUGCCGCGUAAGUCAUGACUGCCUUAGGAUUGUAAAUCUCUUUGCUACGAGACGAUAGUGACGGUACCGGAGAAAUAAGCCCAGGCUAACUACGUG
This 437-nucleotide ribosomal RNA is filed under the name uncultured bacterium. Its description in RNAcentral is "partial 16S ribosomal RNA". It matches the Rfam family "Bacterial small subunit ribosomal RNA", at positions 29 to 507 of the family's 1533-position model. The record is from RNAcentral.